CAAUAGGCCCGAACCUGCGGGGUCGGGGUCGGGAUCGGAAGCGCUCCGCCGAGGCCCGAGCGGGCUCGCGAGGGAACCGGUUCGGCGGGUGUGGCCGGUGCUCCCCGAAGGACACCAGCCCGAUGGAGAUGGUCUGCAGGAAUGGCCGGAUGGCAGGUGUGAACUGUGCAGAGAGAGACGUGCUGUCACCUACCCACCCACCCAGGAGAGGGACAGGGAUGCAUGGGGGAGACACGUUCAUUCAGUAAACAUUUCGCGAGCUCCUACCGAGGGCCCGGCGUGGCUCUAGGCACCUUCAUGGACCUGACGUUCUCGAAGGGAAGAGAGAUUAUCAGCAAAUAAACAAGGCCAUAUGCAAUGUCA
Lemur catta (Ring-tailed lemur) is the source of this 363-nucleotide long non-coding RNA. RefSeq lists it as uncharacterized. NCBI's taxonomy places the organism in Eukaryota, Metazoa, Chordata, Mammalia, Primates, Lemuridae. The record is from RefSeq and is a predicted model, not a curated record. The transcript has 2 exons.